RNAcentral lists this ribosomal RNA (428 nucleotides) under uncultured bacterium. RNAcentral describes it as "bacterial SSU rRNA". It matches the Rfam family "Bacterial small subunit ribosomal RNA", at positions 355 to 775 of the family's 1533-position model. The record is from RNAcentral.
UGGGGAAUUUUGCGCAAUGGGCGAAAGCCUGACGCAGCAACGCCGCGUGGAGGAUGAAGGUCCUUGGAUUGUAAACUCCUGUCAGCGGGGAAAAAGGGACUUGACCUCAUACGUCGAGAACUUGAUUGUACCCGCAGAGGAAGCCCCGGCUAACUCUGUGCCAGCAGCCGCGGUAAUACAGAGGGGGCAAGCGUUAUUCGGAAUUAUUGGGCGUAAAGGGCGCGUAGGCGGCUUUGCAAGUGACGGGUGAAAUCCCACGGCUUAACCGUGGAACUGCCUGUCAGACUGCAUGGCUUGAGACCAGGAGAGGUGAGUGGAAUUCCCAGUGUAGCGGUGAAAUGCGUAGAUAUUGGGAGGAACACCAGUGGCGAAGGCGGCUCACUGGACUGGUACUGACGCUGAGGCGCGAAAGCGUGGGGAGCAAACAG